GUUUUACUCUACCUAAUUAAAAUCUAUUCAAAUAAAAAAAAAUCAUUUGUACUUUAAAGAAAUGCAAAAUUCACCGCAAACUAAUUUUCAUGCAUUGAUUGCACAAAGUACAUGUAAUUAUUUUUAAUAUUUUGCUUUUUUCUCUUGCUUUAGCUGUAAUAUUUUAAUCUGUUCUGCUACAGCAUUUAGAUUACUGUAUUUUACUGUUGAAACUAUUUUUAUGUUUAUAUGUAUUUUAGAAAGAAAUAAACGUGUAACAUUUUAUUUAAGAUUAAAACUUUUGAGUUUUCCUUUAGUGUAUGUUGUGCCUUAUCCUUGAACCCAGUAGAUGGUGGUACUACAGCUAUACUGGUUGUAGCCACUGUGGUUCCUGUAACUGAUGGGUUGCUGGUUCAAACUUCCCACAUGUAACCCAGGUGUCCGCCAUGACCCAAUCACCUUCCCUUUAAGUUGAUUGUCAUGUGUGCUUCCGGGUUUUGUUUUUUCUUCCCCACCUUGCUGCUACUCACUGUUGGUUGUUUGUAAAACAACCUGGAGUUUCUGAAUUGACUCAUCACUCAUUUAAUCUCUAAAACUUGAAGAUUGCGGUUGUGAUCCAUUGACAGCUGGUGAACCUUCCUGAUCUGAGCAAGUUAUCAUUGCAUCCACCUCAUCAGAUAAUCCGUUACUCGACGGUCAGGUUUUUCCCCCUUCCCCUUGCAUUGACUCACUUGAUGACGGAAGAUGGCGAGCUACCCACCCACCAUCUGGUGGUAGGAAAACGGAACUACACUUUCCCUACAGAAACGAACUAAACUCUGAGUAUUGAAAAGGGAACAUAAUUAUUCUCUUUUUGUUCUUGGAUCUAUUGUGGACUCUAUUACGUUUGAAGUAUCACUGAUUAUUAUUAUAAUUGUUUUUGUUGGUUUGUUUUUUUCCCCUUCUGUUUUUGGAAAUUUAUUGUUUUGUUGUUUUGGUAUUAUUAUUAUUAUUAUUGCCACUGCAAUAAAUAGCAAUAUUAACAAACUUUACUUUUUUGUAUCAGUUGUAUUAAUUAUUCACCCCACUCAUGACUCCGUGCCGUACCUACUUCUGAUUAUACAAACUGGUUAACACUACACCUCGCAGUCAGAUCUGCUCAGUUGAGAAAGGCGCUACACACAUCCAUCUCAGUUGUUGAGUCCUUGAGCAAGGCACCAAACCUGCCUUGCCUGCUGUUAGUCAGAAGUCCGAUGGCGCCCAUUGUGUAGCAGCUUCUGUCAGUCUGCCCUAGGGCAGCUGGGCUACAAUGUAGCUUACCACCAUCAACAUGUAAAGCACUUUGGCAUCCUCUGCACUAGAUAAAUCGCUAUACAUACAUUUACCAUUGACUAAACACUUGCAUUUUGUCUUUUUGUUGCGUUUUGUAUUAAACUUGUCCUGUCUGACA
Molecule: long non-coding RNA, 1408 nt
Organism: Xiphophorus hellerii (green swordtail)
Lineage: Eukaryota; Metazoa; Chordata; Actinopteri; Cyprinodontiformes; Poeciliidae
Exons: 3
Source: RefSeq, a predicted model, not a curated record